GCUCUGUAAGUUUUCGGUUAAAUCUAUAUGCUCAACAUAUAGGCUGCCGGAAAUACUGCAGAGCUAGGAAGUGGGAGAGGUAGACGGUACUCCGUAGGAAGGGGUAAAAUCCUUUGAUCUAUGGAUGACCACCUGUGGCGAAGGCGGUCUACCAGAACACGUUCGACGGUGAGGGAUGAAAGCUGGGGGAGCAAACCGGAUUAGAUACCCGGGUAGUCCCAGCUGUAAACUAUGCAAACUCGGUGAUGCAUUGGCUUGUGGCCAGUGCAGUGCCGCAGGGAAGCCGUUAAGUUUGCCGCCUGGGAAGUACGUACGCAAGUAUGAAACUUAAAGGAAUUGGCGGGGGAGCACCACAAGGGGUGAAGCCUGCGGUUCAAUUGGAGUCAACGCCAGAAAUCUUACCCGGAGAGACAGCAGAAUGAAGGUCAAGCUGAAGACUUUACCAGACAAGCUGAGAAGUGGUGCAUGGCCGUCGCCAGCUCGUGCCGUGAGAUGUCCUGUUAAGUCAGGUAACGAGCGAGAUCCUUGCCUCUAGUUGCCACCAUUACUCUCAGGAGUAGUGGGGCGAAUUAGCGGGACUGCCGUAGUUAAUACGGAGGAAGGAGAGGGCCACGGCAGGUCAGUAUGCCCUGAAACUCUGGGGCCACACGCGGGCUGCAAUGAUAGUGACAAUGGGUUCCGAAUCCGAGAGGAGGAGGUAAUCCUCAAACGCUAUCACAGUUAUGACUGAGGGCUGCAACUCGCCCUCACGAAUAUGGAAUCCCUAGUAACUGCGUGUCAUUACCGCGCGGUGAAUACGUCCCUGCUCCUUGCACACACCGCCCGU
Molecule: ribosomal RNA, 826 nt
Filed under: uncultured archaeon
Lineage: Archaea
Description: bacterial SSU rRNA
Rfam family: Archaeal small subunit ribosomal RNA
Source: RNAcentral